This 495-nucleotide ribosomal RNA is filed under the name uncultured bacterium. Its description in RNAcentral is "partial 16S ribosomal RNA". It matches the Rfam family "Bacterial small subunit ribosomal RNA", at positions 28 to 507 of the family's 1533-position model. The record is from RNAcentral.
GACGAACGCUGGCGGCGUGCCUAAUACAUGCAAGUAGAACGCUGAAGGAGGAGCUUGCUUCUCUGGAUGAGUUGCGAACGGGUGAGUAACGCGUAGGUAACCUGCCUGGUAGCGGGGGAUAACUAUUGGAAACGAUAGCUAAUACCGCAUAAGAGUAGAUGUUGCAUGACAUUUGCUUAAAAGGUGCAAUUGCAUCACUACCAGAUGGACCUGCGUUGUAUUAGCUAGGUGGUGGGGUAACGGCUCACCAAGGCGUCGAUACAUAGCCGACCUGAGAGGGUGAUCGGCCACACUGGGAGUGGGACACGGCCCAGACUGCUAGGGGAGGCAGCAGUAGGGAAACUUGGGCAAUGGACGGAAGUCUGACCGAGCAACGCCGCGUGAGUGAAGAAGGUUUUCGGAUCGUAAAGCUCUGUUGUAAGAGAAGAACGAGUGUGAGAGUGGAAAGUUCACACUGUGACGGUAUCUUACCAGAAAGGGACGGCUAACUACGUG